UUGUCCAAUAUCGUAUUUACAUUCUACCUACCUUGAUGAGAGAUCUCUUCUUUUUAAACACAGGCACCUCUCGCCCGGUCCCGAGUUUUCUUCAGUUCUGCGAGUGUUAUUAAGACCUCUACGCCUGCCGGUCAUCCGUGUUGCUAGGUGAACCCACUGCCGCGCGAAAGAGUGUAGCCUAGUCAUGUGGUUCGAGCAGGACAGGUGGAGCAUCUGCAUUGCCCCAGAGAGCAGGAAACACAAAUAACACAGGCAGCUGGUCUGGGUGAGGCCUCCAGAACAACAGAGCCAGGCUAAGGGCUGCGUGUCACUGAAGCUGGAAGAGAGUUACACUAAUACCGAAUGCAGCCACCGGAAUCAUUGCCAGAAGAUUAACACCAGCAGAAUAUACAGUAGAUAUUUCUGCUGUGAUGUUUGUAUAGCGCGAGAGGAGGGGAUUGUUUCAGUGAUUGACAUAUGAUUGAUACGGUUACAGUGGGGUAAACAUAAGGUAUGUCCUCCUAUGAUUACAUUUUUACAGGGCAGCUCACAUAGGCAGCAGCCUGACAGAGUGUUCACAGACUUGUCAUCAGGUCUGGUGGAGUUUAUAAUUACUGCGCUAGAGCUUCCAGUACUGGACACUCCACAGAGCUGAGCUUCACCUUGAGUUACAUUCACUGUAAGGAGAGAGAGACAGGUCACAUUUCUGUGAGACACAAUAAGAAAGGAUAUGAAGCUGAAUCUCUGUUACUUCCCCGGUUUCUGUGUUGUUGUGGGUUUGUGUGUAUAUGUAUGUAUUUCAGGAAAUGGCUUCCUGGAUUCUCCCAAGCAGCUGAUUGGUCAGCCCCAUUGCAGAUUGGAGCUGACCCUGACCUCUCGUCAGGGGAUACAGCUGUCUGCAAUUACAGACUCCUUCUCCAGCUGUAUAAAAGCCUGUGUUCCUUUGCUCAGAAAAAGAGCUUCUGGGUAUGCCCCAGUAUUGUUUGUUGCGCAGACAGAGCUUGUUGGUAUGUUCUGUGUUGGUUGUUGCUCAGAGACAGGUUUUGUUAAGUAUUUUGUAGUCGCUGCUUCUGAGGUAUGUGUGUGCCAAUAGGACGCAGUGUUUUUGAUUAUUGGAAUUGUCUACUUACAUUUGUAUUAUUCUGUUUAAUUUGUUCCCAGGGGGAAGGGGAAGGCACCUUGGGAGUGCUUAGGCAAGAGGCAUGUGGGCAUACAUUUACCCAUAGUAUGUACUCUGUCUAUGCACACUAGGUAAGACCUCGGUGGACCAUCCCCCCCUGUAUUUUGGGUAGUGCGCCAGCUGGUGCUAGUUAGGUAAGUUGUGGGUAGGUAAGGUAGGAGAAGGGGCUCUUUAACUUUAACUUUCUUUGCUUUGGUUCCGUCCAGGGCCUUUUUCCCUGAAGGAAUAAAUUGUGAAGGAAUAAAUUCCCUGUUAAUGGUAAAAUUCUGUCUGUCAUCCUUACCCGCACCUACAGUCACAUACCUCUUUCACUCCACGGGGAGUUGAGUGUAGCAGGGUGUUGCGUUCCCCCCUCCAAGAGGCGUGCGUAACAAUCUCUUUAUGGGAAGUUGAUUAUUUGUCUGCUAUUUUAUGGUAAGCCAUAACAUUUAUGAACACUGCACAGGUAGUUAAAAUGUUUAGUUAUCUGUGCUUGUAUCUUGGCCAAAUAUAAGGGAUGACAUCAGAUUUCCCCAUACAGAAGACAACUGGUACAAGAGGGGAAAAUAUCCCAAAGUAGUGAUUGACUACAUCCUGACUUUUUGUUUUGUCUUCUUCUGCCUACAGGUUGCCUGUAGUGGUGAGAUAUGUGAUGGCAGCAGACCACAGUGGCAAUCCUCCCAAACAAAUUAUCACUGAGACUGGGAUCAGGCUCGCCCUGAAAGAAAACAGCUCAGUAAACAGCUGCUCUUUGCAAAACAAAGAAAUUUAGUCUUUAUUAGAUUGAAUUGACAUACUGUAUGUCUGGGCUCACUGAGAGCAAGAUCAUCAUACCAUUAUGGAAAGAAGCUUCCAACUGUAUAGAUCACAUAGCUGCAACAAUAGUCCAUUUGCAGCCCAAGUCGUAUAAGGCUUGGUGUGAGAAACAGAGGACAGGAUAAUGCACGAAUAGGCAAUCCCCUCCGAGUUCAAACUAUUCUGAAAAAUAUAACAUCAUUUGGGAUUUACUAACAGGAUAUAUGUACUAUAAAUGCAAUCCUAUGAAUAAAAAAACAACCUGUUGGUCUCAGUAGUUCCAGAUGUACUACUGACUAACCACCUUCAAAGACUCUGACAUAUGAUAUAAUUGGUUAUGGGAUAUUUACCUGCAUGCUCUAGAGACUUCCAGUUGCUGUGAACAUCAGCAGUAAUCCACAAGAAACAACACAUUGUUCAUAUUUCUUCCCAUUUUCCUCAAAAAGAAGGAUCAGUUAAUGACAGAAACACUAAGAAUCUAUGAAAUCCUCUAUAUCCAGACACAUUUCCAGACACUUGAAGAUCGAUCUUUUGGACUGGAACAGACAAAUACUUACAGCCCAGUGCUAACAUUAAAUAUCUGCUCGGUAAUAAAUAAUGGAUUUAAUGAGUUACCUAAGUACAGUAAGUUCCUUAUUAAACUUCAUUGAUAUUA
Molecule: long non-coding RNA, 2588 nt
Organism: Salvelinus namaycush (lake trout)
Lineage: Eukaryota; Metazoa; Chordata; Actinopteri; Salmoniformes; Salmonidae
Exons: 3
Source: RefSeq, a predicted model, not a curated record